Sus scrofa (pig) is the source of this 7292-nucleotide non-coding RNA. NCBI's taxonomy places the organism in Eukaryota, Metazoa, Chordata, Mammalia, Artiodactyla, Suidae. The record is from RefSeq and is a predicted model, not a curated record.
GUGAAUUAAGCGGUCUGUGUUGAGCGACAUGAAUUCCUUUACUGCGUGGCGUUCCAAAGGCGAUUCUCACCCGGGUGUCGCCUGUGCUGUGGCUCUCCUCUAUGCCCAAGAAACAGGUCUGCAUCCAGGCUUGGUGGGAAUUUCCACUACAGAAAGAGAAUCAAAUACCCCAGCCACUAUGCCAUGAAAUGCAACCUCUGGCUUCGCAACCUCUGUGAGUUGCUGAAUUCUUCCUUCCAAGUUGCUCGCCAACUACCAGACUCUCUGCGCAAGAUCAGCCAUCGCCAUUGUUCUCGUCUCUGAAAAUUGUUCUGUCAAUGAAAUGAUCUACCAUGAAGGACAUCUGUGGAAACACAGUCUGUGACGAGAGCCCAUGAAUAAUUUCCACGUGCUCCUGCCAGUCUUUUAAGCUGCGCGUCCUUGAGUCACAGAGACAUGGCUGGGCAGCUGAAAGUGUCACCGAGUAUUCCGUGGACACCACAGUUCACUCAAGUGUUAACUGCUCACAAGGAUACACAGCCAGCCUCCCCCAAACAUGAGGCGAUCCAACUGUGUUCUUCCCAUGAGAAGCCAAAGGCAUCUCUCCCCAAGCACAAAGUAGUAAAGAGCCCUGGAUGCCUGGUUCCUAUUCCUGGGAGCGUAUGCAAUUACUCUGUCACCCUGGUGGCCAACGCUGACUGUCCUAUCAGCAUGACUCCUGAUUAUCAGCUCCCCAUCUGCAUGAAAGUAAAAGCCAGCUCAUCCUAUUAACCGGCUCCGAAUCCUCCACUGGCUUCCCCUUUCACUAGAAUAAAACCCUAAAUCUUUACAAUGACCUGACAACAUAAUUCUCCCCCGUUCCCUCCGCCGAAACUGCUGUUAUUUUGCCGGCUUUGUGCAUUACUCAUCCUCUCUAGACCAGUUUGCUAGGGCUGCCGUAACAAAAUACUCCAGAAUGGGUGAUGGAAACAACAGAAACUUAUUUUCCCACAGUCAUGGACGCUCACGGUGUCACCGGAUUUAGUUUCUUCCGAAAUGUCUCUCCUUAGCUUGAACGUGGCCAUCUUUUCACUGUGUCCUCACAUGGUCUUUCCUCUGGUGUCUCUCUGUGUCCAAAUAUCCUCUUUUAAUAAGGACACCAGUCAGACAGGAUUAGGGCUCACACCUUCAUUUUAACAUAGUCAUCUCUUUAAAAGGAUCUAUCUUCAAACACAGUCAUAUUCUCACAUACCAGGGGUUAAGACUCCAGCACAUGAAAUCAGAGGGGACAGGAUUCAGCCCAUGGCACCCUUGAUCAUUCUGCUGCAGCCAACCUGACUUUCCGCAAGUCAUUCAAACAUACCCUUGCCUUUACGCCAUCUAUUCCUUACCUCUCACACACUGCAAAUCCAAUAAAGUCUGCCCCGCUCUUUAAGGAUGCGCCUGCAACCUAACAGACAUUUCAACCCUUGGCUAGAACACUAUAAGAUUUAUCCUAAGUUUCUUUUGGUCUCCUAGUUUCUCACUUUUUCAAUUUGUUCCCCUUUGCCUCCUUAAGUCUUCACUCUACUGCCUUCACAGGUAUUGUCGUUAGGGUUGGACUUCCCUUGCGGCAAUCAAGCUAAUCACAUGGGUGAUUUUCAUUGUCACUGUGGCAUGUCCCCCCUAUAUAGACUGUGUUGACUUAUCCAAUCCAGAGAAGUACAGUGGAUACCAGGUUACGAGCCAGGCACUGCUGGUGUCUAGGAACACACGGGAAAACCUUAAGGUUAGGAUUAAGGAGGAGUAACAAAUUCGGCAGCAGUAUACUCAGAGCACUAACAGAGCCCAGAGGAGCAACAUCUAAAGGACUAGGUAUCAGGAAGGCUUUUGGAAAGAGAUGCCAAUAGAGCUGAAGUUUUAAAAAUAAAUACGAGUUAGCCAUGCAUAUAAUGGAGAAGAGAGUUUUCUAGGCUGUGUUAGCAUCAUGGGUGAAAUUGCAGAAGCAUGAAAAAGCACGCUAUGGACAGAGGAAAGGACAUGCUGAGAGGUGUGAGAUGAUCAGGCUUGACUGAGAUGGGGGCCAAAGAAUCAAAAUCAUACCAUAAACUUGAAAGCUCUGGAGAGCAGUAACAAAUUCUUAGCAAGGAAAUAAGCUGAUCAGCUCUCUAAGUUAGGAAGGUAGCCAUCACAGAAGAGGGCGACUUCUAAGAGCUGGUUCUGGACCGAGAAGCCCAGUUAGGAAGUUACUGAAGUAAAUGUGCUGUGAAGACGAAAGAACCAGCAUCAAGUCAGAGGCAACACAAAUGGAAUGGGAUGUGUGGCUGCAAGUUAAGGAAGUGGGAUCUACAGGGUUGGUGUUGGGUGAAGACACAGGAGUUGAACAGGAAGAAAAAUCUAGAACAACUCCCAGCUUUCUGUAUUUGGCAAUGAAAGAGAUGAUGCUAUUUUUCAUCAUGCAAAGGAAGAGAAACCAACUGAAUUGCAGACAUAUGGAGUGAAAUCUCUGGAAGAGAUGUCUCUUAGCUGCAUUUAUAAUUUCUGUAAGCAGCAGUGAGAGUGUGUAGCUGGGUAUGGAAAGUCUCGGUUGGCGGAGGCCUACCUAGCUGCCUUGCUCUCCUUGCAGGAGUUCCACUCUUCUAACCACACCAUGGACUCCGAAGAAAAAGGAAAAGUGCUAGAGUUGCUUUUAUAAGAGACCAAAAAGAUACAGUUGUGCCUCCACAACCCCUCUCCCAGAAUGCAGCCUCUCCUAAUGUGAGGCAGCCCCUGGGUCCCAAAAUGUGGGUGGGUGACUCAAGUGUGACCUGGCAUAAACAUUGACCCCACUAGAGUGACCACACAGUAGCCUCCUGAUCUCUACUGUGAAACAAAAUAUAGCGAUGAAUGCAAAAGUAUAAUGCUUGACAGGUAACUAAGAGUUUUGUUGUUAUUUUUUAACCUCAAAAAUCUAGUGAAGUAGGCAAAAGAGACACUAUUUUCUGGUUUUCAUUUUACUUCUGAGGAAGCUGAGAACUAAAGAGAUUAAGUGACGUAGCCAGGGUUAUAUUUAGUCUGCAGUGAACAAAAUUAAGUCUUCUGCCUCUUAAUUCUGCUCUUUUUCCAAGACACCACACAAGUUCCCCCAACUGAGCACACUCACAAAGGACAUGUAAUCUGCUCCCCAGGUGAACAGUAAUAGCAAUUUAAUCUUCUAAGCAAUCAACCCAGGCUUUUCACUUACCAGUGACAUUGCAAGUGGAAACUAUAGAACCUGAAACUCUACCUUUCACAUUUCUGUAUCGAUCCUCUUUGAUGGUUAGUGAUAUGAGGGGAUACAUCCUACAGCUAGUGUUUCACAACCAAGCCCUUCAAGGCAGAGUAACCCACAACACAGAAAGUGCUAAGUUCCCUUCUUGGCUCUGAAGGGUCAUUAAUCUUGACCUUUCUUUUCUGUCCAGCUGCUUAAAAGAAUGGGCUUUCGCUGUAAUAAUUACCAUCGUGAUUAUUUCAUCGGUUUAUUAAGAAUCUCCUAAGUUCCAAUGUGGUCUGGAAUAUUUACCGAGAUAAUUUUCUUAUAGGUACUAAGUGAUUAGUGUCAUAAAUUGCCAUCUGCUAAACACUAAUAUCUCAGAAGUUGUAAUUCCCUGUCAGGUUCACUAUUGUAGCAACAUAAAUCAUCAAGCUGUGACCUUUUAGAAAGUUAAAAAUAUAACAUAUAUAUGAUUAAUCCUGCUUUAAUUACUUUCUUUUGACUUUUGUGGUUUCUCAGGGAUGCAAUUUGCAGAGUUUACGUAAAUGUUUUUAUUUCAUGUGAUAAAUUAAGACACGAAUCUUUUGUAAAAGGGAGAAAGGAGAGUAAUUUGAUUCUUUACAGAAAUGGCAAUGUAGUGGAGACAGCUUGAAAAGUUUUAUCUUUAUCUACUAAAAAUUCUAGGCUGAACGAGUAAAAUUACCUCCUCUCUCUAAACGCUUUUAUCCUAGUAGUAUUACAUAAUUAUCCACAAAAGGGUGUGUCACAUUACACAAUCAUUCCCCUUCUCUUAGCUGGAGAUUUUGAAGAUAAAUAGAUGAGAAAUGAUGUUGCUCAAAAGAGACAGCCAAAAUUCAUCCAGACAAGCUCCCCCUUGCACUGGUCUCUCUUUUAGUCAAUGAAGCUAUACGUUUUCAUUUAAAAAAAUAAAUAAAUGAAAUCUUAACUUCUCCAUCCCUUUUGACGUGGCGCUGGAGGUCCUUUGUGCAUUCUCCAACCUCAAAUACUUCCACUUUCUCCAACUACACUCUCAGUUCAUUGACCACCCCAAGCUUAUUCAGUGUACCUCAGGGCCUUUGCACAUGCAGAUCAUUCUUCCUGCCCACCCUCCACAACCACACGGUGGUUUGAAAUGGUUCCUACCAUUUUCAUUUUCCCUCUAUUACUUCGCCUUCUUCAUUUUCUUUAUAGUGCUUAUAAAAAUUUACCAUAGGGAAAAUUCAGAGUUAUCAAACAUCUAUUAAACAUUCAGUAAGUGCCAAGGUUUUCAGAUUGUGUCAUGACUAAACUUCACAACUGAUCUGUAUUUGGUAGAUGUGAAAACUGAAAUUACCAGGCUAUUAAGUUGUGUAGAGAGACCAUUAACCUGUUUUCCUCCUCCAUGACUUAAGAUCAGGGAAUUAAACAUCCUACGUUUGAAUCUUGCCACAGCUAUUUAUCAACUGUGUGCUUUAUGGAAAAUUAUUUGAACUUUUUGUGUCUCAGGAUCUUCACCUGCCUCAAGCAGUGGUCAUAAGGAUUAGGAAAUAAACCACAAAUAGUGCUCAGAAGAAUAUCCUGUGCUCAAUGCAUGUGGCCAGCUACUGACACAAUUCUGUAGACACUGAAGGUUCCAGAGAGUUCUUUCAAAAGUUCCACAAAUAUUUGACCCAAGCAAUGCUGUUUUUUCCACUAUUUAAAACACUUUGUUAAAAAGAAACUUACACUCAUGCAAUGCAUGCCAUAUUUAACCUAUUUCUUCCUCUAUGUGUGAGUUUGUGUUGUCAGUUAACUUUGUUUUUGUGCUCAGACAUUAAAGCAAAGCUUUUCUUCUUCUUCCUAGUUAAAGAUUCUACGGAGAAUUCAAGCUGAUAAAUACAGUUAUGAUCAUUUUAACGACGUAUCCAUUCAAUCCCCGCAGGAGCCGACCAUGCGAGCCCAUUAAGAGAACAGUUCAGUCCCACCUGCCUCCUGGAGCCAGCCAACAAUCUCAGCUUCAGCACUCCAUGCUUGAUUAUGUACAGCCAUUGCAAUCCUGAGUGGCAGGAUUUGCAAAGACAGCUGUUGGGCUCCACAAACAUUUGGAGGAGGAGGGGGGAAAUGUGAGUUAUAUCAGGGGAAUCCCAAAUGCACAGUGCAUUUAUAUUGGGAGCGAGGUUAUGACAAACUUGGCCUUGACAGUCCUGAGAGAGAACUGUUGAGUGAAUUAAAGUCCACUUGGAGAAAGUGGCUAAUGGAUGCUGACGGACUUGGUCCUUGGUCCCAUACCUGACAAGGGAUCACAAAACCUAGGAGGACAGGUGAGAAAUUGGAGAAGAUAAAAGGAACCGUCAAUAGGUCAAAACGACGAGCUAUUAGCAGACCCAAGACCUCAGUCAAGGCUGGAUGUCAUUGCUAAAAAAAGCUUCCUAAGAAUUUUGCAUUGGUUAUUCAUAUCACAUAUGAAGAAUGUUACUCAUUUUAAGGAAACAAAAUUAAAUAAAAACGUUGAAGAGGGUCUAGAGAAAGUGUCCGGAGAAAGACAUCAGGAGAGUAGAGGGGCUGGAAGCCAAGCAAUAAAAGGCACAGUUGACUAAGUGUAAGUACUUAACAUGAAAAAUAGAAGAUUUGCGUGGAUAGGGGAGAUGUCUUUAAAUAAAGACCUAGCAUGAACUGGAAGCUAUAAGCAAACAGAUUUUAAUCCUAAACAAAUUUCCCAACAAUAGAAGUUUCAUGACAAAGAAAAGAAGAGAAAGCUCCAAAGGACUGAGCUCUUUCCUCAUGAGAAGAACUCAAGCAGAUGCAGUCAGCCAUCCACGAGGGUUGUUCCUGAGUGAAAUUCUGCUUUUGAAGACAUCUGGCCUAGUUGAGGGAUUUUUUUUUUUCUUUCUUUUCUUUCUGUUUUAGCUACGCCAGUGCUAUGCACAAGUUCUCGGGCCAGGGUUCAAACCUUCUCCCCAGUAGCGUCAACAUCAGCUAGGCCACCAAGGAACUCCCCAAGUUGAGGAAUUUUUAAUUUGAGGUCCAUAGGUGAAUGCCAUGAAGUCUUUGAAUCCUUAGAAAUUAUAUGCAAACACACACACACACACACAACACACACACACACACACACACAUAUCAGAUGUCUAUAUUUGAAGUGCCCCCUCCCCUGGGAGAUGGUGCAUGUAUCUCUUCAGAUGCUCAAAGUAGUUCUAUAAAACCUGUGAACCAAAAAAUGGAAUCGCUUCCAAUUCUGCAAUUCUAUUAUUCUGUUUUGCAAAACUAGCCUCACCGUUCACAGAGGUGCUCCCAACAGAAUUAUGUGAUUGAUUUAAUGUUAGGCACAAAGGAGAAUGAACAGUUGGGGAAAACUUUUUAAGGUUUUGAGCCUAGUUACUGAGAAGCUGUUGAUACCAUUGAGAGAUAAAUAAAAGGAAGGUGAAGCAAGAAGUCCAUUAUCAGGGGAAGAUAAUAAGUAGAAAUAAAUGGACAGACUGAAGCCUAAGAUUCUAGUACUAAGCAUACUAAGCGCAUAGUCCAAAAAUUCUUUUACUUCAUGGUAGAAAAAUGCUGAAAGCUAGAGAUGUACAAAUAGAGAAGAAGCUACUUGAAAUGUGGAACGAUGAAAUACUGUAACUCAAACUAGUCUAGAGAUCACUUAUUUCAAACUUUAAUGUUAAAACUUCAGAAACGACAUCUCAGAAAAACUAAGAAAUGUACCCUCUAUCAUGGCACCCUGGAUGCCCAUCCAAGUUCACAUUUACAAAUUUCAGGGGGAAAAAAAUCCAGAUUUAUAAAAUAUUCAAAUCUGGAAUAAAGAUACCACUUAAAAUUUCCAGGGAAGGUUAACCACAUAUGAUACACAAAGGUCCACUCUGUUAUGGUAUAAGGUAAGACCACAACACUGCCACUGCCCCGUAAGAGUUAAAAGAGUUUUAAGUAUGAAUUACACGCUUCAGCAUGCUCUGUGAUGUUUCCAUAGUAUUUUUAACCUUAGUCUUCAUAGUCUGAUUUACCUCAGGAAAAUUACAUGGUUCUUAAACCAUAAAGAACAGAGAAGCACAUGGCUGUGCCAUUCAGUGUUAGUCAAUUAGCCACACAAGUCUUGGGGCUGGGGGCGGGGGGUUAGAUGUUGUUUUUCUGUUUUUAAGAUCAGAGGGAGGGGAGUUCCCGUCGUGGCUCAGUG